RNAcentral lists this transfer RNA (83 nucleotides) under Tropheryma whipplei. Its description in RNAcentral is "tRNA-Leu". It matches the Rfam family "tRNA". Rfam says of the family: Transfer RNA (tRNA) molecules are approximately 80 nucleotides in length. Their secondary structure includes four short double-helical elements and three loops (D, anti-codon, and T loops). Further hydrogen bonds mediate the characteristic L-shaped molecular structure. tRNAs have two regions of fundamental functional importance: the anti-codon, which is responsible for specific mRNA codon recognition, and the 3' end, to which the tRNAs corresponding amino acid is attached (by aminoacyl-tRNA synthetases). tRNAs cope with the degeneracy of the genetic code in two manners: having more than one tRNA (with a specific anti-codon) for a particular amino acid; and 'wobble' base-pairing, i.e. permitting non-standard base-pairing at the 3rd anti-codon position. Lineage: Bacteria; Bacillati; Actinomycetota; Actinomycetes; Micrococcales; Tropherymataceae. The record is from RNAcentral. RNAcentral also lists the same sequence under 1 other name.
GCCGGCGUGGCGGAACGGCAGACGCGGAGCACUCAAAAUGCUUUGCCCUCAUGGGCGUGUGGGUUCAAAUCCCUCCGCCGGCA